UACGGAGGGUGCAAGCGUUAUCCGGAUUCACUGGGUUUAAAGGGUGCGUAGGCGGGCAUGUAAGUCAGUGGUGAAAUCUCCGGGCUUAACUCGGAAACUGCCAUUGAUACUAUAUGUCUUGAAUUAUCUGGAGGUUAGCGGAAUAUGUCAUGUAGCGGUGAAAUGCUUAGAUAUGACAUAGAACACCCAUUGCGAAGGCAGCUAACUACGGGUAUAUUGACGCUGAGGCACGAAAGCGUGGGGAUCAAACAGGAUUAGAUACCCUGGUAGUCCACGCCCUAAACGAUGGAUACUCGACAUACGCGAUACACAGUGUGUGUCUGAGCGAAAGCAUUAAGUAUCCCACCUGGGAAGUACGUCCGCAAGGAUGAA
RNAcentral lists this ribosomal RNA (372 nucleotides) under uncultured bacterium. Its description in RNAcentral is "bacterial SSU rRNA". It matches the Rfam family "Bacterial small subunit ribosomal RNA", at positions 524 to 898 of the family's 1533-position model. The record is from RNAcentral.